UGAGGGCAAAACAAGUGGCAAGGGAGAUGUACGCCAGGUCCUUAGAGUUGGAGGUCACUAGGGGAGAGAGGUCAUCCUGAAAGAGAAACAGCAAACCAAGAAUUACAGGCAUGAUGGUAUAAGAAAAGGGAAAGAAUUCUGAAUGACUGCAACUCGGGAGACCAGCAGGAGGAGGAGAAGCAGACAGGUUGAACUCGACGUUUUGGCAAUCUCUUUGGUUGGCUCUGAAAUUCUCUCAUGCAAAAGCUGUCAUGAAAAUAAGCAGUUCUUCUAAGAUCGGAAGGGUCACAGGAGAUGCAUGAAAUCGGAAAGGCCUCUUCCCAACCCCGGACACCCUGCUGCAAUUCUCUAAGGAAGACUGUAUUAUUGAGAAUGAUAAUUCCAGCCUCCUCACCAGAGAUAACGUCACCAAUGACGCCGACAACGAUGACCUCGUAGGGCUGUGACGAUGACCUCGUAGUGCUGUGGUGAAGAUCACACAAGAAAAUCAGUGCUCCAAACUCUACAGGAGCUCCUGACAUCUCUGUGGGAGACCAAGAUGGCUGCUCAGGA
Long non-coding RNA from Dipodomys spectabilis (banner-tailed kangaroo rat), 552 nucleotides. RefSeq lists it as uncharacterized. NCBI's taxonomy places the organism in Eukaryota, Metazoa, Chordata, Mammalia, Rodentia, Heteromyidae. The transcript is spliced from 3 exons. The record is from RefSeq and is a predicted model, not a curated record.